RNAcentral lists this long non-coding RNA (853 nucleotides) under Helianthus annuus (common sunflower). Lineage: Eukaryota; Viridiplantae; Streptophyta; Magnoliopsida; Asterales; Asteraceae. The record is from RNAcentral.
AACAAUCUGUUGUUGUAAAACCAGAAAAUUCUAAAACUUCAAAUCAUCAAGAAGUUAAAAUUUUAAAGAAAAACACUGGUGAAACCAAACAGACUUGGAAACCAAAAACGGUUGUUGAAUCAGGGGGACCAUCACAAUUCACCAACCAUCAAAGACAAGAAGUUAUUGUCAUUGAUGAAAAUGGAAGACCCAAGACCACAAUGGCUUGGUACCCCUCAUUGUCUCAUCCUCUCUUCACCAACCUUGCAACAAGUGUUCUUGAGCUUAGUUCAGUAACUUAAAAAUGGCCAAAAUUUCAGUUGCUUUCAAUGCUUUUCUUCUGCUUCUCUUUGUUCUUGCUAUCUCAGAAAUCGGAUCGGUGAAAGGAGAAUUAUGUGAGAAGGCAAGCCAGACAUGGUCCGGAACAUGUGGCAAGACAAAACACUGUGAUGACCAGUGCAAGUCUUGGGAGGGUGCAGCCCAUGGAGCUUGUCACGUGCGCGAUGGGAAACACAUGUGCUUCUGCUACUUCAACUGUUCCAAAGCCCAGAAGUUGGCUCAGGAUAAACUCAGAGCGGAAGAGCUCGCCAAGGAGAAGAUUGAACCCGAAAAGGCGACAGCCAAACCUUGAGUAUGUAGCAAAUGUCAUACGAUUAUGAAUAAAGAGAAAAUGCUUUCUACUUGGCAUAUUCAGCAUUUUCUUGUGUGUAAUGUUUGUUGUAUUUGGAAAUUGGAAUCAGUUGCUUCAUUAUGAUUCCAUGCAAAAUGUUCUAAUGAAAUGAUAUAUAAAUUAUGUUGUUUUGAAGCCUGUAGAAUCACAUCUCAUGUUCCUGCACAAAAUGAUAUAAUUACUCUUCUACGGACUUGUAACGCA